UUCCAGAAGCGCAAGUUUCCGAGUAUUUGAUUUAAUGCGGCCAUAGUCGGUCACAAGCCCGAUUGAGAAACGCAGAGUGAGUC
Molecule: non-coding RNA, 83 nt
Filed under: unclassified sequences
Source: RNAcentral